AACCUUAUGGACCUGCGGGCGUAUACCUGCGGAGGGAUCAUUAUCGAGUGAAGUUCUGGCUCGCCGGAACGACCUCCCAACCCGGUGUUUAUUUGACCUCUUGUUGCUUCGACAGGAUAAGCGUGUGUUGCCCCCCCCCUUUUCGGGGGGGUCGAGACCGCUUUUUACCGACCGCGUUUUCCCCCCCGGGGGGCGUGGGAGGACUGUCGACGGCCCACAUCAAAACUCUGUGUCUUGAAA
This 240-nucleotide unclassified non-coding RNA is filed under the name soil metagenome. Its description in RNAcentral is "partial contains 5.8S ribosomal RNA, internal transcribed spacer 2, and large subunit ribosomal RNA". The record is from RNAcentral.